CCGGACCCCACUGCUAUCGGGGUGGGACUAAGCCAUGCGAGUCGUACGCUCCCAGGCCACGGUGGGAGCGUGGCGAACGGCUCAGUAACACGUAGCCAACCUACCCUCGGGACGGGGAUAACCCCGGGAAACUGGGGCUAAUCCCCGAUAGACGGGGAGGCCUGGAAUGGUUCCCCGUCGAAAGGGCGCCGUGACCAUGCCUCACGGCGUCGCCCGAGGAUGGGGCUGCGGCCGAUCAGGUUGUUGGUGGGGUAACGGCCCACCAAGCCUCUGACCGGUACGGGCCGUGAGAGCGGGAGCCCGGAGAUGGGCCCUGAGACAAGGGCCCAGGCCCUACGGGGCGCAGCAGGCGCGAAACCUCCGCAAUGCGCGAAAGCGCGACGGGGCCACCCCGAGUGCCACCCGCUGAGGGUGGCUUUUCCCCGGUGUAAGGAGCCGGGGGAAUAAGGGGAGGGCAAGUCGGGUGUCAGCCGCCGCGGUAACACCCGCUCCCCGAGUGGUGGGGACCAUUAUUGGGCCUAAAGCGCCCGUAGCCGGCCUGGUAAGUCCUCCGUUAAAUCCAGCGAUUCAAUCGCUGGGCUGCGGGGGAUACUGCCAGGCUAGGGGGUGGGAGAGGCCGGCGGUAUUCCCGGGGUAGGGGUGAAAUCCUCUGAUCCCGGGAGGACCACCGGUGGCGAAGGCGGCCGGCCAGAACACGCCCGACGGUGAGGGACGAAAGCUGGGGGAGCGAACCGGAUUAGAUACCCGGGUAGUCCCAGCCGUAAACGAUGCAGGCUAGGUGUUGGGGCGGCCUCGAGCCGCCUCAGUGCCGCAGGGAAGCCGUUAAGCCUGCCGCCUGGGGAGUACGGCCGCAAGGCUGAAACUUAAAGGAAUUGGCGGGGGAGCACCACAAGGGGUGAAGCCUGCGGUUUAAUUGGAGUCAACGCCGGGAACCUUACCGGGGGAGACAGCAGGAUGAAGGCCAGGUUAAAGGCCUUGCCAGACGAGCUGAGAGGAGGUGCAUGGCCGUCGUCAGUUCGUGCCGUGAGGUGUCCUCUUAAGUGAGGUAACGAACGAGACCCCCGCCCCUAGUUGCUACCGGAUCCUAGAGGGAUCCGGGCACACUAGGGGGACCGCCGCCGAUAAGGCGGAGGAAGGAGGGGGCGACGGCAGGUCAGUAUGCCCCGAAUCCCCCGGGCCACACGCGGGCUGCAAUGGUAGGGACAGAGGGUUGCGACCCCGAAAGGGGAAGCUAAUCCCUAAACCCUACCUCAGUUGGGAUCGAGGGCUGCAACUCGCCCUCGUGAACGUGGAAUCCCUAGUAACCGCGCGUCACCAUCGCGCGGUGAAUACGUCCCUGCUCCUUGCACACACUGCCCGUCGCGCCACCCAAACGGAGUCUGGGUGAGGUGCAGUCGAAAGUUGGCUGCACCGAACCUAGGCUCCGUGAGGAGGGCGAAGUCGUAACAAGGUAGCC
This 1456-nucleotide ribosomal RNA is filed under the name uncultured archaeon. Its description in RNAcentral is "partial 16S ribosomal RNA". It matches the Rfam family "Archaeal small subunit ribosomal RNA". The record is from RNAcentral.